AUGGCAGAAUUAUGUCAGAAGUUAUUGGGAAAGACGACAUCAAAAAAACCUUCUCUUUGUCUACUACGAAGAUCUGAAAGAAAAUUUUCGACAAACCGUCACUUCCAUAGCUAACUUCUUGGAAAUCCCAUUGUCCGCGGACCAACUCGACAUGAUUCAAGAGCGAUCGUCCUUGGAGGUCAUGAGAGCCAUGGAGGCAGAGGCGCAACCAAACAAGGGCACUGGUGUGGGAACUCUCAUUAACAAAGGUUUGAGCAACGAAGCAAUAAAGGAGUAUUCUGAGGAGGACAUUGCUCUGGUCAAGUCAAAGAUGAGGGAGAAACUGGCUGACACUGAUAUCAGAUAUGUGAAGGAAAUCCUGUAAAACAAUCCAUGAACAAUUCAUAAUUAUAGACACUGCUUCCACGAGUGUUCACAUCCGUCAAUCUACAGGUUAAAGAGUGCUUAAACGAAAGUUUAAUUUCGUCAAAAUAAUGGUUACUCGCCCUAAAUAUUGAUUCCAAUCUCGA
Molecule: long non-coding RNA, 509 nt
Organism: Acanthaster planci (crown-of-thorns starfish)
Lineage: Eukaryota; Metazoa; Echinodermata; Asteroidea; Valvatida; Acanthasteridae
Source: RefSeq, a predicted model, not a curated record